UACGGGGGGAGCAAGCGUUGUUCGGAUUUACUGGGCGUAAAGGGCGCGUAGGCGGCCACCGCAAGUCAAUUGUGAAAUCUCCGGGCUUAACUCGGAAAGGUCAACUGAUACUGCGGGGCUAGAGUGCGGAAGGGGCAACUGGAAUUCUCGGUGUAGCGGUGAAAUGCGCAGAUAUCAGGAGGAACACCGAUGGCGAAGGCAGGUCUCUGGGCCACUACUGACGCUGAGAAGCGAAAGCAUGGGGAGCGAACAGG
Molecule: ribosomal RNA, 254 nt
Filed under: uncultured bacterium
Lineage: Bacteria
Description: partial 16S ribosomal RNA
Rfam family: Bacterial small subunit ribosomal RNA
Source: RNAcentral